RNAcentral lists this ribosomal RNA (423 nucleotides) under uncultured prokaryote. Its description in RNAcentral is "bacterial SSU rRNA". It matches the Rfam family "Bacterial small subunit ribosomal RNA", at positions 355 to 796 of the family's 1533-position model. The record is from RNAcentral.
UGGGGAAUCUUGGACAAUGGGGGCAACCCUGAUCCAGCGACGCCGCGUGGGUGGUAAGGCCUUCGGGUUGUAAAGCCCUUUCACCGGGGAAGAUGAUGACAUUACCCGGAGAAGAAGCGCCGGCUAACUCCGUGCCAGCAGCCGCGGUAAGACGGAGGGCGCUAGCGUUGUUCGGAAUCACUGGGCGUAAAGGGCGCGUAGGCGGCUGUUUAAGUCGGGGGUGAAAGCCCGGGGCUCAACUCCGGAACGGCAUUUGAUACUCCUUUGCUGGAGGUCGAGAGAGGAGAGUGGAAUACCCAGUGUAGAGGUGAAAUUCGUAGAUAUUGGGUGGAACACCAGUGGCGAAAGCGGCUCUCUGGCUCGAACCUGACGCUGAGGCGCGAAAGCGUGGGGAGCAAACAGGAUUAGAUACCCGCGUAGUCC